AGCCAGCAGUUACAGGACUCACUCAGCACUCACACAAACUGAAGGGCCCGGUCUCACUCCUACCGUGCCCCCCACAACAGCCCUGAGUCUGUUUCCAGGUGGUGGGCGAGAGGGGUUUGAAAAUUUGCCCCAGGCUAUCCGCCUCCCAGCUGGGCAAGAAAAGGGCGUGGUUGUUCCCCCACUGAGGAGUCUGCACACCGGAUUUGCAUCUUCCCCUGAGUUCUGGCCUGGAGGCUUCUCGCCCCUGCAAAUUGUUACAAAGUUCAGCUAGAGGGUUCCUUCUUCCUGUGGAGUUUUACCUUCUGCUCCUCUGGCCACCCUCCUGAUGGAUCCCUGUGGUGCCAGGCAGGAAUGACCUGCUUAAGGACCCAGCGAGCUCCCAGGACCUUUCUGCUGCUUCCUCUACCCGUAUAUUUUGCUUGCUUCUCUACAUUGACUCAGCUCCAGCGAUUCCUGAGGAAUCUCAUCCACACUACCCUAUGGACUAAAAGGAAAAGCUCUUCAUGUGGUGUUAGCACGGAGAUGAGAAAGAGAGAAAGACAACAUCAUGCUUUGCUGUCUGUGUGUGAACUGAGUAACAGCUGUGAAGGAUCAGUCACCAAAAGACUUUGAAAGAAGAGGCUUGAUUGGUCACGGCCAUGGAAGUUUAAUUGGGAGAAAAGAACAUCUGCUUAUACGAAAACAUAUUAUAUUCAGCCAUCCCUGCCCUGACUUUGGCCUUUAAAAACAGUGGCAUUAAUUAUCUCAACAAAUGAAUCUUCGGGAUAAAAAUAAUCUAAAUAUUAUUUUACGCUUACUACAUAUUUGCAACGUGCUAAGCUCUUUAUGGUUGCUACCACAAAAAACAUUUAUAAUAUGAGGUUGUUUCCGUAUUUUGGCUAUUGUGAAUAGUGCUGCAAUAAACAUGGAAGUGCUGAUAUAUCUUUGAGAUCUUGACUUCAAACAAAAGAAGAAAAUCUUGCAAUAUAUGACAACACGGAUUAACCUGGAGGACAUUGUGCUUAGUGAAGUUAGCCAGUCACAGACUGACAAGUACUGCACGAUUCCACUUAUGUAAGUUUUAUUUUUUUAAUUUUUUACUUCCAUAGGUUUUGGGGAACAGGUGGUAUUUAGUUAAAUGAGUAAGUUCUUUAGUUGUGAUUUGUGAGAUUUUGGUGGACCUGUCUCCCAAGCAGUGUACAGCGAACCCAAUUUGUAUUUUCCUAUCCCUCACCCUCCUCCCACCCUUUCCCUCCUGAGUCCCCAGGGUCCAUUGUAUCACUCUGCCUUUACAUCCUCAUAGCUUAGCUCCCACUUAGGAGUGAGAACAUAUGAUGUUUGGUUUUCUAUUUCUGAGUUACUUCAUUUUGAAUUAUAGUCUCCAGUUCCAUCCAGGUUGCUGCUAUGCCAUUAAUUCAUUCUUUUUUAUGGCUGAGUAGGAUUGUAUCAUAUAUAUACAUAUACAAAUGUGUAUAUACACAAAUAUAUGUAUAUAUAUGUAUAUGUGUAUAUAUACACAAAUAUAUGUAUGUAUGUAUACACACAUACGUGUGUGUAUAUAUGUAUGUGUACACACACAUGUAUGUGUAUACACACACGU
Molecule: long non-coding RNA, 1579 nt
Filed under: Homo sapiens (human)
Lineage: Eukaryota; Metazoa; Chordata; Mammalia; Primates; Hominidae
Description: HSALNT0333197
Source: RNAcentral